CGCAGCCGCGGUAAUUCCAGCUCCAAUAGCGUAUAUUAAAGUUGUUGCAGUUAAAAAGCUCGUAGUUGAAUUUCGAGAUCAGUACGCUGGUCGUGCCUUCGGUAUGCACCGGUGUCACUGGUUUCUCCCUUCUGAAGAACCGUCAUGUCAUUAAGUUGGUGUGGCGGGGAAUCAGGACUGUUACUUUGAAAAAAUUAGAGUGUUUAAAGCAGGCUCGCGCUUGAAUACAUUAGCAUGGAAUAAUGAAAUAGGACGUUUGACCCUAUUUUGUUGGUUUCUAGGAUCGACGUAAUGAUUAAUAGGGAUAGUUGGGGGCAUUAGUAUUCAAUUGUCAGAGGUGAAAUUCUUGGAUUUAUUGAAGACUAACUACUGCGAAAGCAUUUGCCAAGGAUGUUUUCAUUAAUCAAGAACGAAAGUUAGGGGAUCGAAGACGAUCAGAUACCGUCGUAGUCUUAACCAUAAACUAUGCCGACUAGGGAUCGGAUGAUGUUAAUUUUUUAAUGACUCAUUCGGCGCC
This 517-nucleotide ribosomal RNA is filed under the name uncultured Glomus. Its description in RNAcentral is "SSU rRNA". It matches the Rfam family "Eukaryotic small subunit ribosomal RNA", at positions 569 to 1087 of the family's 1831-position model. The record is from RNAcentral. Lineage: Eukaryota; Fungi; Glomeromycota; Glomeromycetes; Glomerales; Glomeraceae.